GUUUUAAUAGUUUAAUAAAAACAAUGAUUUUGUAAAUCAUAAUUAGGGUAUACCUUUAAAACU
Molecule: transfer RNA, 63 nt
Filed under: Placosternum urus
Lineage: Eukaryota; Metazoa; Arthropoda; Insecta; Hemiptera; Pentatomidae
Description: tRNA-Thr
Source: RNAcentral